AUUGAACGCUGGCGGCAGGCCUAACACAUGCAAGUCGAACGGUAACAGGAAGCAGCUUUCUGCUUCGCUGACGAGUGGCGGACGGGUGAGUAAUGUCUGAGAAGCUGCCUGAUUUAGGGGGAUAACUACUGGAAACGGUAGCUAAUAGCUCAUAAUGUCGCAAGACUAAAGGGGGUUACCUUCGUGCCUCUUGCCAGCGUAUGUUCCCAGAUUGGAUUAGCUUGUUGGUGGGGUAACGGCUCACCAAGGCGACGAUCCCUAGCUGGUCUGAGAGGAUGACCAGCGACACUGGGACUGAGACACGGUCCAGACUCCUACGGGAGGCAGCAGUGGGGAAUAUUGCACAGUGGGCGCAAGCCUGAUGCAGCGAUGCCGCGUGUAUGAAGAAGGCCUUCGGGUUGUAAAGUACUUUCAGCGGGGAGGAAGGGAGUAAAGUUAAUACCUUUGCUCAUUGACGUUACCCGCAGAAGAAGCACCGGCUAACUCCGUG
RNAcentral lists this ribosomal RNA (490 nucleotides) under uncultured bacterium. RNAcentral describes it as "partial 16S ribosomal RNA". It matches the Rfam family "Bacterial small subunit ribosomal RNA", at positions 30 to 507 of the family's 1533-position model. The record is from RNAcentral.